GACGAACGCUGGCGGCGUGCUUAACACAUGCAAGUCGAACGGAAAGGCCCUGCUUGCAGGGUACUCGAGUGGCGAACGGGUGAGUAACACGUGGGUGAUCUGCCCUGCACUUCGGGAUAAGCCUGGGAAACUGGGUCUAAUACCGGAUAGGAGCCAUCUUUAGUGUGAUGGUUGGAAAGUUUUUUCGGUGUAGGAUGAGCUCGCGGCCUAUCAGCUUGUUGGUGGGGUAAUGGCCUACCAAGGCGGCGACGGGUAGCCGGCCUGAGAGGGUGGACGGCCACAUUGGGACUGAGAUACGGCCCAGAAUCCUACGGGAGGCAGCAGUGGGGGAUAUUGCAAAAUGGGCGCAAGCCUGAUGCAGCGACGCCGCGUGGGGGAUGACGGCCUUCGGGUUGUAAACUCCUUUCGCCAGGGACGAAGCUUUUUGUGACGGUACCCAGAGAAGAAGCACCGGCUAACUACGUG
RNAcentral lists this ribosomal RNA (465 nucleotides) under uncultured bacterium. RNAcentral's name for it is "partial 16S ribosomal RNA". It matches the Rfam family "Bacterial small subunit ribosomal RNA", at positions 28 to 507 of the family's 1533-position model. The record is from RNAcentral.